RNAcentral lists this ribosomal RNA (328 nucleotides) under uncultured eukaryote. RNAcentral's name for it is "partial 18S ribosomal RNA". It matches the Rfam family "Eukaryotic small subunit ribosomal RNA", at positions 1470 to 1796 of the family's 1831-position model. The record is from RNAcentral.
CCCUUAGAUGUCCGGGGCUGCACGCGCGCUACACUGAAGGAAUCAGCGUGCUAAAACCAUUGUCGAAAGGCAUUGGUAAACCCAUUAAAAUCCUACGUGAUUGGGAUCGGGAAUUGCAAUUAUUUCCCUUGAACGAGGAAUUCCCAGUAAGUGUGGGUCAUAAGCUCGCGUUGAUUACGUCCCUGCCCUUUGUACACACCGCCCGUCGCUGUCCGGGACUGAGCCGUUUCGAGAAAAGCGGGGACUGCUGCUGUCGGGGCUUUCGGGCCUUGGCUUCGGUGGAAACCGCUUUAAUCGCAGUGGCUUGAACCGGGCAAAAGUCGUAACA